AACAGCUACAACAAAACAGCCGAUCGUUGGAUCAGGUCCAAUUUUACCUUUUGGACCUCGAGCAACAACCAAAGAUCAUGUCUGUGAUAAGAUGGGACUUCUUAUGGAUCUAGCUUCAGGCAAAAGUGUAACCAUGCAAAACGCUAAAACCUGUGGUGGUAAAUCGUCUGACGCAGUAAUCCUCAAACACUGCCAUUCUCCAAUAUUUUCAAAAUGGAAGAAAGGAAUACAGGUGAACAGUCAUUGCAGUCAAUUGAAACAUUAUAUACCUAUAGCUAAAUGGACAGGUCAUGGAUUCAGUGAUACAAUUGGUAUUUUAGUAUCCUGCCAAAAUGGUGUAAUUGAG
Mytilus trossulus (common blue mussel) is the source of this 346-nucleotide long non-coding RNA. RefSeq lists it as uncharacterized. The record is from RefSeq and is a predicted model, not a curated record. NCBI's taxonomy places the organism in Eukaryota, Metazoa, Mollusca, Bivalvia, Mytilida, Mytilidae. The transcript has 4 exons.